Molecule: ribosomal RNA, 229 nt
Filed under: uncultured bacterium
Lineage: Bacteria
Description: partial 16S ribosomal RNA
Rfam family: Bacterial small subunit ribosomal RNA
Source: RNAcentral
UACGUAGGCGGGAAAUUAAGUCAGUAGUGAAAUCCCACAGCUUAACUGUGGAACUGUUAUUGAUACUGGUUUCCUUGAAUAUAGUUGAGGUAGGCGGAAUGUGUAAUGUAGCGGUGAAAUGCUUAGAUAUUACACAGAACACCGAUUGCGAAGGCAGCUUACUAAGCUAUGAUUGACGCUGAGGUACGAAAGCGUGGGGAGCGAACAGGAUUAGAUACCCUGGUAGUCC